RNAcentral lists this ribosomal RNA (440 nucleotides) under uncultured bacterium. Its description in RNAcentral is "partial 16S ribosomal RNA". It matches the Rfam family "Bacterial small subunit ribosomal RNA", at positions 338 to 795 of the family's 1533-position model. The record is from RNAcentral.
CCUACGGGAGGCAGCAGUGGGGAAUAUUGCACAAUGGGGGAAACCCUGAUGCAGCGACGCCGCGUGAGUGAAGAAGUAUUUCGGUAUGUAAAGCUCUAUCAGCAGGGAAGAAAAUGACUGUACCUGAUUAAGAAGCCCCGGCUAACUACGUGCCAGCAGCCGCGGUAAUACGUAGGGGGCAAGCGGUAUCCGGGUUUACUGGGUGUAAAGGGAGCGUAGGCGGGAACAAAAGUCUGGAGUGAAAUGUCGGGGCUUAACCCCGGGAGUGCUUUGGAAACUGUGCAGCUUGAGUGCAGGAGAGGUAAGUGGAAUUCGUGGUGUAGCGGUGAAAUGCGUAGAUAUUAGGAGGAACACCAGUGGCGAAGGCGGCUUACUGGACUGUAACUGACGUUGAGGCUCGAAAGCGUGGGGAGCAAACAGGAUUAGAUACCCUUGUAGUC